GGGGGUGUAGCUCAAUCGGACAGAGCGUCCGGCUUCUACCCGGCAGGUUGCAGGUUCGAGUCCUGCCACCCCUGCCA
This 77-nucleotide transfer RNA is filed under the name Moorella sp. E308F. Its description in RNAcentral is "tRNA-Arg". It matches the Rfam family "tRNA". Rfam says of the family: Transfer RNA (tRNA) molecules are approximately 80 nucleotides in length. Their secondary structure includes four short double-helical elements and three loops (D, anti-codon, and T loops). Lineage: Bacteria; Bacillati; Bacillota; Clostridia; Neomoorellales; Neomoorellaceae. The record is from RNAcentral. RNAcentral also lists the same sequence under 1 other name.